RNAcentral lists this transfer RNA (76 nucleotides) under Escherichia coli. RNAcentral's name for it is "tRNA-Lys". It matches the Rfam family "tRNA". Rfam says of the family: Transfer RNA (tRNA) molecules are approximately 80 nucleotides in length. RNAcentral also lists the same sequence under 1 other name. Lineage: Bacteria; Pseudomonadati; Pseudomonadota; Gammaproteobacteria; Enterobacterales; Enterobacteriaceae. The record is from RNAcentral.
GGGUCGUUAGCUCAGUUGGUUGAGCAGUUGACUUUUAAUCAAUUGGUCGCAGGUUCGAAUCCUGCACGACCCACCA